Molecule: ribosomal RNA, 447 nt
Filed under: uncultured bacterium
Lineage: Bacteria
Description: bacterial SSU rRNA
Rfam family: Bacterial small subunit ribosomal RNA
Source: RNAcentral
UGCCAGACUCCUACGGGAGGCAGCAGUGGGGAAUAUUGCACAAUGGGGGGAACCCUGAUGCAGCGACGCCGCGUGAGUGAAGAAGUAUUUCGGUAUGUAAAGCUCUAUCAGCAGGGAAGAAAAUGACGGUACCUGACUAAGAAGCCCCGGCUAACUACGUGCCAGCAGCCGCGGUAAUACGUAGGGGGCAAGCGUUAUCCGGAUUUACUGGGUGUAAAGGGAGCGUAGACGGCAGAGCAAGUCUGAAGUGAAAGCCCGCGGCCCAACCGCGGGACUGCAUUGGGAACUGGCGCGCUGGAGUGCCGGAGGGGUAGGCGGAAUUCCUAGUGUAGCGGUGAAAUGCGUAGAUAUUAGGAGGAACACCAGUGGCGAAGGCGGCCUACUGGACGGUGACUGACGCUGAGGUUCGAAAGCGUGGGGAGCAAACAGGAUUAGAUACCCUAGUAA